This 387-nucleotide ribosomal RNA is filed under the name uncultured bacterium. RNAcentral's name for it is "bacterial SSU rRNA". It matches the Rfam family "Bacterial small subunit ribosomal RNA", at positions 28 to 417 of the family's 1533-position model. The record is from RNAcentral.
GACGAACGUUGGCGGCGUGCUUAACACAUGCAAGUCGAGCGGUAAGGCCCUUUCGGGGGUACACGAGCGGCGAACGGGUGAGUAACACGUGGGUGACCUGCCCUCAGCUCUGGGAUAAGCCUGGGAAACCGGGUCUAAUACCGGAUAUGACUCCAUGACGCAUGUUGUGGGGUGGAAAGCCUUGUGCGGCUGAGGAUGGGCCCGCGGCCUAUCAGCUUGUUGGUGGGGUGAUGGCCACCAAGGCGACGACGGGUAGCCGGCCUGAGAGGGCGACCGGCCACACUGGGACUGAGACACGGCCCAGACUCCUACGGGAGGCAGCAGUGGGGAAUCUUGCGCAAUGGGCGAAAGCCUGACGCAGCGACGCCGCGUGAGGGAUGACGGCCU